GACGAACGCUGGCGGCGUGCUUAACACAUGUAAGUCGAACGGAAAGGCCCUGCUUUUGUGGGGUGCUCGAGUGGCGAACGGGUGAGUAACACGUGAGUAACCUGCCCUUGACUUUGGGAUAACUUCAGGAAACUGGGGCUAAUACCGGAUAGGAGCUCCUGCUGCAUGGUGGGGGUUGGAAAGUUUCGGCGGUUGGGGAUGGACUCGCGGCUUAUCAGCUUGUUAGUGGGGUAGUGGCUUACCAAGGCUUUGACGGGUAGCCGGCCUGAGAGGGUGACCGGCCACAUUGGGACUGAGAUACGGCCCAGACUCCUACGGGAGGCAGCAGUGGGGAAUAUUGCACAAUGGGCGAAAGCCUGAUGCAGCAACGCCGCGUGCGGGAUGACGGCCUUCGGGUUGUAAACCGCUUUCGCCUGUGACGAAGCGUGAGUGACGGUAAUGGGUAAAGAAGCACCGGCUAACUACGU
Molecule: ribosomal RNA, 467 nt
Filed under: uncultured bacterium
Lineage: Bacteria
Description: partial 16S ribosomal RNA
Rfam family: Bacterial small subunit ribosomal RNA
Source: RNAcentral